UAUACUAAUUUGAACUGUUGAUGAUACAGGUAUACCCUGUUUAAUGAAUUUUUGCUAUAAUAUACAAUCAGUUUUAUUACUAAUUCUUACUGUAGCAUAUUAUUCUGUUGCUAUUCCAAAAACUAACAAUGCAAUGAGAUCUGAAAUUUUGAUGUCAAACAGUAUAAUGUCCCAUGUACAGUCCUGUGCAAAAAGUUUGUCAGGUUCUGCCAAGGAGAGGAAGUGGCUGACUCACCAUCGAGUAUUACAUCAGUCACUAACGUCUGAAGACGCCGCGAAACAAAAUGAACUCGACCGUUGUCUCGGUUAAUAGGGGAAAUAGUUUUACAAUGAAUGGAAAGAGAUGUCACUAUUUCAUUGGCACGACUAAUCUGAGAUUUAUUAUUUACUCUGCCGCUGUAUUUAAUAGUCAAGUAACAAAACUACUUAUAAUCAAAAAUGAAAU
Molecule: long non-coding RNA, 445 nt
Filed under: Androctonus crassicauda
Lineage: Eukaryota; Metazoa; Arthropoda; Arachnida; Scorpiones; Buthidae
Source: RNAcentral